UACGUAGGGUGCGAGCGUUGUCCGGAAUUACUGGGCGUAAAGAGCUCGUAGGCGGCUUGUCGCGUUGUUCGUGAAAAUUUACCGCUCAACGGUGAACUUGCGGGCGAUACGGGCAGGCUAGAGUACUGCAGGGGAGACUGGAAUUCCUGGUGUAGCGGUGAAAUGCGCAGAUAUCAGGAGGAACACCGGUGGCGAAGGCGGGUCUCUGGGCAGUAACUGACGCUGAGGCGCGAAAGCGUGGGGAGCGAACAGG
Molecule: ribosomal RNA, 253 nt
Filed under: uncultured bacterium
Lineage: Bacteria
Description: partial 16S ribosomal RNA
Rfam family: Bacterial small subunit ribosomal RNA
Source: RNAcentral